UCUUCGCAUGCCUAUCGGCUGGAUGUCCGGGCGGCGCCGCUGUUGCGGCAUUGUACUGAUGACCUGCAGGUGGACCGACGGGUUUUGCUCCCCCGCUGCUAACAAACGCCACAACAAUAAUAAUUAUACUCGUAUUAAAUUUCAAUAAGCAGAUGAGGUGACCCUUGAGUGACCACUCACCAGUGACGAAGACCUCGGUGAAAAUAUAGUGAGGGUGAGGAGGAUCGGUGAUCGAAGCAAGUAGGCGGCAGAGCCAUUAGUAUAAGCCGGUUUCUCACUACCGGUGUACUUGCCAAGUAUAUGGGAAACUGUUACUUUGACUUUUGUCACAUUUACCGGCAAUUAUCGGGAAGAGUACCAAUGACCAAUGAUAUUGUAUAUGUGCCAAUACUGUUUCUACGGCAAGACAAAUACCACCAGUACUAAAUAUUGACCAAGUACACCGGUUGUGGAAAUACAACAUUAACGCAUUAUAUUAUAAUGUAAUAGAUUUAAAUAUGCAUAAAUAGAUACAUGAAUUUACAAAAUUUGUAUAGUGUCCUAGACACACUGAACACCUGCGACCUGCUUAACAUAUUGUAUACAUAUUGUUACUAGACCGAGCUCUGUUGUACAGAAACGAUUUGUACGUUAAAACCACUGCGAUUGGUCGUAGAUUAAUAAUGUAAAACAAAAAAAUUUCGACUGCGUGUUGGUGUAUUAUACUUGUUCAUUUUGCUGCGCAUAGUUUAGAUUUGGUCACGGUGUCUGAGUGCG
Rhopalosiphum padi (bird cherry-oat aphid) is the source of this 756-nucleotide long non-coding RNA. RefSeq lists it as uncharacterized. The transcript is spliced from 3 exons. NCBI's taxonomy places the organism in Eukaryota, Metazoa, Arthropoda, Insecta, Hemiptera, Aphididae. The record is from RefSeq and is a predicted model, not a curated record.